RNAcentral lists this ribosomal RNA (497 nucleotides) under uncultured bacterium. RNAcentral's name for it is "partial 16S ribosomal RNA". It matches the Rfam family "Bacterial small subunit ribosomal RNA", at positions 28 to 507 of the family's 1533-position model. The record is from RNAcentral.
GAUGAACGCUGGCGGCGUGCCUAAUACAUGCAAGUCGAGCGAACAGACGAGGAGCUUGCUCCUCUGACGUUAGCGGCGGACGGGUGAGUAACACGUGGAUAACCUACCUAUAAGACUGGGAUAACUUCGGGAAGCCGGAGCUAAUACCGGAUAAUAUAUUGAACCGCAUGGUUCAAUAGUGAAAGACGGUCUUGCUGUCACUUAUAGAUGGAUCCGCGCUGCAUUAGCUAGUUGGUAAGGUAACGGCUUACCAAGGCGACGAUGCGUAGCCGACCUGAGAGGGUGAUCGGCCACACUGGAACUGAGACACGGUCCAGACUCCUACGGGAGGCAGCAGUAGGGAAUCUUCCGCAAUGGGCGAAAGCCUGACGGAGCAACGCCGCGUGAGUGAUGAAGGUCUUCGGAUCGUAAAACUCUGUUAUUAGGGAAGAACAAAUGUGUAAGUAACUAUGCACGUCUUGACGGUACCUAAUCAGAAAGCCACGGCUAACUACGUG